CGUGUAGGCGGGAGUACAAGUCAGAUGUGAAAUACCGAGGCUUAACCUCGGGGCUGCAUCUGAAACUGUGUUUCUUGAGUGUCGGAGAGGAAAGUGGAAUUCCCAGUGUAGCGGUGAAAUGCGUAGAUAUUGGGAGGAACACCAGUGGCGAAGGCGACUUUCUGGACGAUAACUGACGCUGAGGCGCGAAAGCGUGGGGAGCAAACAGGAUUAGAUACCCUGGUAGUCCACGCUGUAAACGAUGGAUACUAGGUGUAGGAGGUAUCGACCCCUUCUGUGCCGGAGUUAACACAAUAAGUAUCCCACCUGGGGAGUACAGCCGCAAGGUUGAA
RNAcentral lists this ribosomal RNA (332 nucleotides) under uncultured bacterium. RNAcentral's name for it is "bacterial SSU rRNA". It matches the Rfam family "Bacterial small subunit ribosomal RNA", at positions 568 to 898 of the family's 1533-position model. The record is from RNAcentral.